Pan troglodytes (chimpanzee) is the source of this 86-nucleotide non-coding RNA. Lineage: Eukaryota; Metazoa; Chordata; Mammalia; Primates; Hominidae. The record is from Rfam.
UGCCUGCUUCUGUGUGAUAUGUUUGAUAUUGGGUUGUUUAAUUAGGAACCAACUAAAUGUCAAACAUAUUCUUACAGCAGCAGGUG